RNAcentral lists this unclassified non-coding RNA (372 nucleotides) under soil metagenome. RNAcentral describes it as "partial contains 5.8S ribosomal RNA, internal transcribed spacer 2, and large subunit ribosomal RNA". The stretch from base 1 to 120 matches the Rfam family "5.8S ribosomal RNA", at positions 35 to 154 of the family's 154-position model. The record is from RNAcentral.
GAUGAAGAACGCAGCGAAAUGCGAUAAGUAAUGUGAAUUGCAGAAUUCAGUGAAUCAUCGAAUCUUUGAACGCACAUUGCGCCCGGCAGCAAUCUGCCGGGCAUGCCUGUCCGAGCGUCAUUUCUUCCCUCGAGCGCGGCUAGCCCUACGGGGCCUGCCGUCGCCCGGUGUUGGGGCUCUACGGGUGGGGCUCGUCCCCCCCGCAGUCCCCGAAAUGUAGUGGCGGUCCAGCCGCGGCGCCCCCUGCGUAGUAGAUCCUACAUCUCGCAUCGGGUCCCGGCGAAGGCCAGCCGUCGAACCUUUUAUUUCAUGGUUUGACCUCGGAUCAGGUAGGGUUACCCGCUGAACUUAAGCAUAUCAAUAAACGGAGGA